ACACACAGAGACAUUAAAUGGUGGCCCCUCUAAAGCUCUAUCACCUGGAACCUGUGAAUAUGACCUUACUUAGUUAGGACCAUGGUAUUUGCUGUAAUUCAUGAAGGAUCUUGCGAUCAUCUUGAAUUUCCCAGGUGGCCCUUGAAUCCAAUGACAAGUGACUUAUAACGGGCAGAAGAGGAGAAGCCACAGAAGAGCAGAAGGCUGGUGGAGACAGAGGCAGAGAUUUCAGUGAUGCAGCCACAAGCCAAGGAAGGGAUGCCUGGACCCACCAGAAGCUGGAAGAGGCGAGAAGGAUUCUCCCUGAUGCCUUCAGAGGGAUCAGGGCCCUGCUAACACCGAUUUCAGACUUCUGGCCUCCAGAACUGUUAUUACAAGCUAUUGAAUAUAGUUCCCUAUACUAUAUGUAACCAUCAGCUGGUUUUCCGUGCCUGUGAGCCUUAGAGAUGAUCACGCUAGCAGACUUUUGAAGAGAACAGCACCUGCUCUCGGCCUGCGGUCCCAGGCCACAGGGUGCGGCCGUUUCAGUGCCAGCGUGUCGACCGCCGUGUGGAUGUCGCUGGCGUAGGCUGGGUUUUUCCACCGUUAACUGGACGAGAACUUGUUCCUUACAUACACUUUUGCUUGUACAAGUGCUGGCUUCUGCCCACACGAGCAACUCCAAACCCCAAACUCACCUCAGAACUUCUCUGAACUAGUUUUCCACCUUAAAUGAUGCUACCUUUUCAUGUAAACCCUGGGCUGUUGUCUUUACUACUCCAUUGCCUGAAGAAAAAGUUACCUUAAAGUAUUUUUCCUGCCACAUCAGCUAUAAGGCUGUAAUGAGACUUUGGGAGGGGCAGCUAAAAAGCCAAUACCUGAUGGCAGUUAAGAAAGGAUUUUAUUGACGUGGUGAUCACUCAGUCACCUGAAAACAACUCCACUGAAGCGCCUUGGUGUGGCCGCAUCACGUGCCCUUCCAACUGCUCUCUGCACUUCAUAUCACCUGGACCUCUGUCACCUCAACGGAAUUGGCAAAACUCUCAGGGGCAGCACUGUAAUUGCGGCCACCUAAUUUUUAUCCAUGUCCUUAAUUGCUCCGGCCAUUGGCACCAUAUGUGUCAGCCCACAAGGAACAACGUCAGUAUCAUUUGCUGCAACAUGAUCCUCGCUCCAGGUGGUUUCAUGGCAAGAUGAACAAAGGCGAAUGAGAAAGUAAUUUAUUUUUUAAAAACCAGAAUGCCAGUUUACUAAUGGACAGUUAGAAUUGUAACUGUCACACAGACUAAAAUAUGCAUCAGUAAGAGUUGGGCUGAUAGGAAUAUUCUGGUCUGUGUGACAGUUAUGAUUGUUAUUGUAGCUUAUGAGUUUGUUAGCGUGUAGGCUGGUGUAUAAGGAAAGCCAACUUUCAUCCAAAGAGUGAGUAAAGGAAAAAUUUUAAUUUGAACAUUAGUAGUAUCAGGCUGAUAAAAUCUGGGGC
Non-coding RNA from Vicugna pacos (alpaca), 1459 nucleotides. NCBI's taxonomy places the organism in Eukaryota, Metazoa, Chordata, Mammalia, Artiodactyla, Camelidae. The record is from RefSeq and is a predicted model, not a curated record.